Molecule: long non-coding RNA, 1956 nt
Filed under: Salvia miltiorrhiza (redroot sage)
Lineage: Eukaryota; Viridiplantae; Streptophyta; Magnoliopsida; Lamiales; Lamiaceae
Description: long non-coding RNA (SMIL_LNC002313)
Source: RNAcentral
CCAAUUCAACUUUAACCCAUGCCUAAGGGAGGCCAUCUGGUGGGCGGCCCUGUUGCUGUCAGCCGGAGUAAGGGACUAGGGUUUUCUGGUGGCGGCUCUUGGCUGCGGUUGCAGGGAAUCAAAAGAGGGUGGGCCGCUGAGACGGUGUGCUGUGCGUGAGAGACGACGGAGAGGGAGAUCGGUGGUAGGGGUACGAGUGAUGGUGGUCGUGGCCGCGACGGCGGCUGUUUCCGCCGGGGAAGAAGGGUCCGCGCCGCUGGUUCAGGAUGUGUGUGUGUGAUGUUAUGUUUUCAAGGAGAGAGAGUUGUGAGAGCAGAGGGUGGCCGGAGAGGCGGCGACUUCGCCAGGAAGGAAAGGGGGCGGUGGUUGUGAGUCCAGUGUGUGUGCGUUGAGAGAGAGAGAGUUUAGAGAAGAUGCGAAGAAAUCGGCUGGGUCAAGAUUCAAGAAGAAAAAAAAAGGUAACUAGGUUUGGGCCAGUGUUGGACCGAUUUUUAUUAAAUAAUGGGCUGCGAUUUUAUUAAAGUUUAAGGCCCUUACUUUUAUUAAUUUGAACUUGGGUCUUUUAUUUUAACUAUGUAUGGGCUGCCCAUUUAAAAUUCAUUUGGGUGGAGAUUUUUAUAAAAAGAAAAUGAGAUAUUUAUAUAAUUUAUUAAUUGGACUUUAUUAUUAAGUCUAAUUAAUUAUUUUAAAGAAUGAUUGCAUAAUAUUAUAUAUUAUGAUGCGCUUAUAUUAAGUGUAAUUAUUUUUAUUUAAGGCAUGAAAUGAAUUUGCAUUAAAGCAUUUUGCAAAUAAAAGCAUUUAUUAUUCAAAUUGGUUUUUCAUAAAUCUAAUUAUUAAAGAAAAUCGAGUAAGAUAUUGUUGGUGUUCUUAGCUCAAGAAAUUUCAGUUUUCAAUUGUUUACUUAUUAAAUUUUGAAAAACCCGGCGCAUAAUCAUAGAAUGUUAAGCACUUCACUAGACCUAAGAUUAGAUUCAGGAGACCUAUUAAGAUUAUAGAUUUCUUGUAGGCUUGAGGAUCAGGAGGAUUAGCACUGUUAUUCCGAUUCAGAGUUAUGAUCAAACUACAGGCUUUGCCUAAUCAGGUGGGCUUACUUUCCAAAUGUAUAAAGUAUGAUUGAGCUAUUAAGCUCUAAAUGUUUCAAUGAAAUGCAAACUGUUUAUUUAAUGAAAUGCAAAUUGUUUAUCCAAUAAAAUGUUUAUGUGCACUCUGCUCUAUUUAAGGCUCGCAAAGUUAAUCAAUUGAGGUUCUCUUAUGACCUAACACGUUGUUUGAGAAUUGUGUACACUUGUUAGCUGACUCGGUGAGUUGAUCUCCAUCGGGCACUAACCAGAUGCGUUAUAAGGGUGCUCGACUGGAUGUGUUCCGGAGCAUGAGAAAUAUAAGGCUUGCCUGGGUAGGGUCCUGAGGUCAAAGUAAACUUGUUUGGGUUACGCCCUCAAUUCAAGUAAGCAGGAGACAGAGAUUCGUCGGUGGCUAAAAGGUCCAGGAUCACAGCAAGUAACAGAAAUGGAGUGCGGCAUGUGCGCACAAAUGAAAGAAAUUAUGUUAACAUGCUUAGAAGUUCUUUCAAUUUAAAAUCUUCUAAGUUAUGUCAAUUAUGAUUGGAUAAGUUGUCUUUACGAAAAUAUGAAAUGUUUAUGAAAAUGCUUGCCCACUGAGUACAUUAGUACUUAGCCCAAAAAUACUUCCAAAUAUUUUUAGGUUGGCUGGUCGGUGCUAACGGGACGGAGCUGAGCGGAUUCAAUAUUUUAUUAAGACUUCCGUUGUAGCACUAGCUCUUAACUGUCUUUUGUUUUCUCAAUUUAAGACUUUCAUGUUAAAUUUCAAAUGAUAACCCUGAUCGAAUUUAGACUCUUAACUCCUAGAUUUAUGCUAAUGAAUGUCGGUUGUCAGAAGCAUGAAAUAAAACUUGUGAUCCAAAGGGGUCUAGCCCGAUUUGUUAUCAUAUUAUUCAGG